CCACCGCCCUCAGCACUGCGGCCUGACACCGAGUCACCCCAGCGAGCCCCAGGCGCUCAGGAUCCCAGCCCUGCAGACGCCCCGCGAGUGGCCCAGCCAGAGCCCUGCGACCCAGGCGGCAGGCAGAGCCGGGAGAGGGGCGGCACCCAGGCAGCCCCUCAGCAUCUCGGGGCUGCUGCAGAGGCAGCAUUUAGGGUCUGCCGGCCUCGGGGGGCUCGUGCACGAGCGGUGAGCAGGAUCCCGCCCGUCUG
Eubalaena glacialis (North Atlantic right whale) is the source of this 251-nucleotide long non-coding RNA. RefSeq lists it as uncharacterized. The record is from RefSeq and is a predicted model, not a curated record. The transcript is spliced from 3 exons. Lineage: Eukaryota; Metazoa; Chordata; Mammalia; Artiodactyla; Balaenidae.